AUUGAACGCUGGCGGCAGGCCUAACACAUGCAAGUCGAGCGGGGUUUUCGGACCUAGCGGCGGACGGGUGAGUAAUGCGUAGGAAGCUACCCGAUAGAGGGGGAUACCAGUUGGAAACGACUGUUAAUACCGCAUAAUGUCUACGGACCAAAGUGUGGGACCUUCGGGCCACAUGCUAUCGGAUGCGCCUACGUGGGAUUAGCUAGUUGGUGAGGUAAUGGCUCACCAAGGCGACGAUCUCUAGCUGGUUUGAGAGGAUGAUCAGCCACACUGGAACUGAGACACGGUCCAGACUCCUACGGGAGGCAGCAGUGGGGAAUAUUGGACAAUGGACGCAAGUCUGAUCCAGCCAUUCCGCGU
RNAcentral lists this ribosomal RNA (360 nucleotides) under uncultured bacterium. Its description in RNAcentral is "bacterial SSU rRNA". It matches the Rfam family "Bacterial small subunit ribosomal RNA", at positions 30 to 402 of the family's 1533-position model. The record is from RNAcentral.